This 991-nucleotide long non-coding RNA is filed under the name Sorghum bicolor (sorghum). Its description in RNAcentral is "long non-coding RNA (SBIC_LNC002357)". Lineage: Eukaryota; Viridiplantae; Streptophyta; Magnoliopsida; Poales; Poaceae. The record is from RNAcentral.
UAUGUAAACCCGAUGUAUGGGCCUUUCCUCCAUAAUUCCUGAUAACCCCCUGCAGAAAUAGACAAACACCAAAACUCAUGGAAUUCUGUCAGAUAAAACCCUAAGUCUGGGUGUCAGUUGCAUUUGGAUCCUUUUCUCUAUUUACUUGUUGAUUGUAUUUGAUACUUAAGGACCGUCAACAGUUAUCACUUACGAAUAAAUCCUCCAGUUGCUAAAAAGUCAUUAUUAUCAUUUGUUACUUUAUAUUAAUCUAGUCACAAGAUCAUGGUCAUAGAAUUAAAACCCAAAUGCUAUACUUGCCUUGAUCCGAGUGCUCCUACUGGUCCUGCUGACCUUACUUGCUUCCAAGGCUCUGUUCUUGAUCAUCGAAGUAACGCCCACCGUCUAAUCUCGAUCAUCGAUCAUCAACACACAAACAAUCGGAGACAAACAUACACGAAGCAAACAAGAUUACAAUAAGAACAGUACACUAGCAGAUAAAAAAACAAAAUAAAAUGUUUAAAAACAGAACCUACGUUUUGCUACGAUCACAUAGAUAUGAAGAUCACGAAAAUCGGAACUAAAACGCAAUUGGAAUUCCUAUAGCAAUUUAACUAAUUAACGGCGAUUUCCUAUAGCAAUUUAACUAAUUAAACCUAAACCUAAAAAAUAAAAAGUUACAAACUGCAGUAACACUAGUACUAUAUAGAGAAUUUAAUUAUGAAUCUAACGCAAUUGGAAUGGGUCAAAUCGGAGCUAAAAUGAAUAUUUUAUGGCCAAAACAAUGCAGUGGCAAAUCUGUAAUUAAUUUGAAGUCGAAAAAAUGGAAUUUAAAUCAAUUUUUAAUCUGAAUUUGGAGUUGGCCGAGGACUGCGUGCAUAAUUUAGAAAAAAGACAGGGUCUCUUUAACAAAAAAGACCCCGAAGGGGUAUGGGUUGCUUCUGGCCGUUGAUCUCGCGAUGGACGGCCAGGAUUAGAAGAAGGAAAUAAGAGAGAGAGGAGUGGCGCGCCG